GAACCUGGGGAAAGAUCCUUUUUGGAACCUGCCUAGCCGAACGACCCGAGAACUAGUUUCAAAGCGGGGGCCGAGGGGUCCUGCGGCUCCUCGUCCCCUUUAUCUCGGGGGGGUUGCGUUGCGCUCGCGCGGCCGACCCUUCCGGGCGUACAAACGAACACCGGCGCGAAUUGCGCCAAGGAAAUUGAACGAGAGAGCGCGUCCCCGUCGCCCCGGAAACGGUGUGCGAGGGCGGCGUCGUCAUCUUCAAAUAUGUCAAAACGACUCUCGGCAACGGAUAUCUCGGCUCUCGCAUCGAUGAAGAACGUAGCGAAAUGCGAUACUUGGUGUGAAUUGCAGAAUCCCGUGAACCAUCGAGUCUUUGAACGCAAGUUGCGCCCGAAGCCAUUAGGCCGAGGGCACGCCUGCCUGGGCGUCACACGUCGUUGCCCCCCCAUCAACUCCUUCGGGAUUGCGGGGGGCGGAUGAUGGCCUCCCGUGCGCCUCGCCGCGCGGUUGGCAUAAAUACCAAGUCCUCGGCGACGCACGCCACGACAAUCGGUGGUUGCGAGACCUCGGUUGCCCGUCGUGUGCGUUCGUCGCGCAUCGA
Molecule: unclassified non-coding RNA, 589 nt
Filed under: Prunus dulcis (almond)
Lineage: Eukaryota; Viridiplantae; Streptophyta; Magnoliopsida; Rosales; Rosaceae
Description: sequence contains 18S rRNA gene, ITS1, 5.8S rRNA gene and ITS2
Rfam family: 5.8S ribosomal RNA (bases 263-418)
Source: RNAcentral